CGUGGGUUUCACCAAAGUGGUAAACGUCUGAGACCUGCAUCACUUUGGGCUUUCCUCCCACAUUAAGCCGUGAUAUAUCUGGAAUAAUGUUAAAAACAGUGUUAAACCCAACUCACUCACUCUUACCUGGUGUUUGUUAGUGAUCACACCAUUACAAAGUAUUUGACAUCUGUCCUGACAAAUACAGGGAAGUAUUUUGUUAGGUUCCCUUCUACUUUACAUCCUCCAAUUCCUGACUGACGCAGCAUCUUCAGCAGCAGCAGUGGCUACAGCAUCCUCAUCACUGUGAUACACGGCCGACCAGCUGAAACAGCUGCCUGCCUCUGGCAGCAACAUUCCUGUAUAUAAAGACUAUUUAUUUUUUAUAACACAUACACAUUUUACCUGAAUAAUUGUAACGUUAGUUUUGUACUAAAUGAAUUUUAUGCAUCCUGUACAUAUAUGAGUGAGCAUGUCAGUGAUCUGUAGGAUUUAAUUUCAAAUUGUGCAUUUAUUGUCUCAGUCUCUGACAUUAUGCAGUCCCUAUGCUAUGCUACAUUCCGGUAGCUAGAUGGAGUGAUGGAGUGUUAACUUGAUAAUAAUCCAACAAUGAUAGAGAUUUGUUAAUAAGUAUUAAGUUUUUACCUUUGCCUGACACAUGAUGGCUCAGUGUAACUGAUAAUCACUGAUAGUAGUACAUUGUUGAGAAUGAGAGGAUAUUUACUGUCUGCCAGGCUGUGAGACUGCUUAGCCAAAUGCUGCACUCCAUGACAUGAACAAGUUACAUAAGUAUACAGAGUCUCAAGUUUUAGGCCACCCAGCCUUCACCACACAAGUAACUUUGGUUUGGAAUAAUGUCUUGAGUUACAGAUUGUAUAUAUAACCUCCCCUGGCAGAAUGCUGUCUGGAUAUGAAUAAAAGGGAUCUGCUUUUGUAAUGACCAUUACUUACACAAUAUUCACGUAGCAAUGUCUGUGAUACUCACUGAUCUUAUACACUGACCUGGUUCAUCCGUCCAAUAUGAGAGUCUUACAACUCACCACCUAGGUCCAGCAUGGCCUCGAAAUGAUGGCCUUCCACACACUCAAAGACCUGGGACCAACAUGGCCUCGAAAUGAUGGCCUUCCACACGCUCACAGACCUGGGACCAACAUGGCCUCAAAAUGAUGGCCUUCCACACGCUCACAGACCUGGGACCAGCAUGGCCACGAAAUGAUGGCCUUCCACACACUCAAAGACCUAGGUCCAGUAUGGCCAAUAGUGACUUACACACACUCACAGACCUAGGUCCAGCAUUGCCGAUAGUGGCUUACACACACUCACAGACCUAGGUCCAGCAUUGCCAAUAGUGGGAUACACAUGUCCAAUAGUGACUAACACACACUCACAGACCUAGGUCCAGCAUGGCCAAUUGUGACUUACACACACUUACAGACCUAGGUCCAGCAUGUCCAAUAGUGACUUACACACACUCACAGACCUAGGUCCAGCAUGGCCAAUAGUGACUUACACACACUCACAGACCUAGGUCCAGUAUGUCCAAUAGUGACUUACACACACUCACAGACCUAGGUCCAGCAUUGCCAAUAGUGGGAUACGCAUGUCCAAUAAUGACUAACACACACUCACAGACCUAGGUCCAGCAUGGCCAAUAGUGACUUACACACACUCACAGACCUAGGUCCAGCAUGUCCAAUAGUGACUUACACACACUCACAGACCUAGGUCUAGCAUGGCCAAUAGUGACUUACACACACUCACAGACCUAGGUCCAGUAUGUCCAAUAGUGACUUACACACACUCACAGACCUAGGUCCAGCAUGUCCAAUAGUGACUUACACACACUCACAGACCUAGGUCUAGCAUGGCCAAUAAUGACUUACACACACUCACAGACCUAGGUCCAGCAUGGCCAAUAGUGACUUACACACACUCACAGACCUAGGUCCAGCAUGUCCAAUAGUGACUUACACACACUCACAGACCUAGGUCCAGUAUGUCCAAUAGUGGCAUACACACACUCACAGACCUAGGUCCAGUAUGUCCAAUAGUGACUUACACACACUCACAGACCUAGGUCCAGCAUGUCCAAUAGUGACUUACACACACUCACAGACCUAGGUCUAGCAUGGCCAAUAAUGACUUACACACACUCACAGACCUAGGUCCAGUAUGGCCAAUAGUGACUUACACACACUCACAGACCUAGGUCCAGUAUGUCCAAUAGUGGCAUACACACACUCACAGACCUAGGUCCAGUAUGUCCAAUAGUGGCAUACACACACUCACAGACCUAGGUCCAGCAUGUCCAAUAGUGGCAUACACACACUCACAGACCUAGGUCCAGUAUGGCAAAUAGUGGCUUACACACACUCACAGACCUAGGUCCAGCAUGACGGAUGUGUAGUGGACAUUUACAGAUCCAAGAUCCGUGGUCCAAUAUGGCCAUUAUGAGAGUCCUGCUGACGAUGUCUCAUCAGGGUACAUACUGACACCAGGUGUUUGAUGUAGGUGUUCACAUUACAUGUCUGUGUGUCCUUCAUUGUUUGGGAGUAAACUUGUUUCUCAGUUUGAUUGUUUUUCAUGUAUGCCAAAUGAGACCUGCACUUGUUUGUUUAUGCAAAAUGUUUAAAACAGUAUGAAAUUUGUGAUGUUGCGGUUGAUUAUGAAAAUGUUCAAGUUUCAAUUUUGCAGAGAUGUGUUUUGUUUUUGCCAUGAGAUUAAACAAUACGCAACCGGAGAGAAGCUGGGUGCUGAUAUCUUGACAACAGAUGAUAAUCAUAGUCAGUGUGUUGCAAAUGGUAGUCAUAAUGCAUUAUUGACCAAGGUUGUUUGGCUCCCUCAAAGUCACGGCAAUAACAUGGAAAGAUAGUUUGUUUCAAUGUUUCCUCGGACAAGUUGUACAGGGUCUCCCUACCAUGUUUAGUCACGUCCUUGUCAGCCAGUCCUUAUGUACUGUUUAUGUAAUAGGUUAGUUUCAUGAAAUGUCAUAUUUCAGUGUUGCGUAGGUGAAGAAGACUACUGUCAAGGCUGGAGCCGUCCGGGAACAAGACACAGUCCCAUCAGCUGCACAUUAGCCAACUCUUCAUUCAGUGUUAUCACAUAAUCAUAACUUCGUAGAUUUGGUACUAAUUUGUGAGAGUAGAAGUACCGGUAUGUAUCUUGUCUUGUGUGAGUUCUUAUCUCAGGACAGUAGCACAUGCAGCUCUAGGUAUUGGUGAGAGAAUCAAUCUCUGAAAACGACUGGUUGCUUCUUGCUGUUUCUUGACAGUUGAUGGCGUAUUUCCCGUUGUUUAUAUGGUUUUAUGAUGACUUUGGUGUGACGGUCAUCCUAUGAAUGGCUGGUCAAGGCAGUAAGUCACUGACCCAGGGGCUGGACAUUUGUUGACAGAGUCUGCUGCUGGAGGGAUGUAUUGCUGUUUAUUGACCUUGACGUCCAUGCUACACACGCCUACAUGUGUGGCCACACCUAACCCUCACUAUGCAAUGGAUAUUUGGUUCAUGUCGCUCUGAUCAGUCCAAGGCUAAUAUCAAUAUUUUUAUCUGAUAAUGCAUUUAAACAAAACUUUUAUUAUCAAUCUAUAUAGAUAUGUAAUAUGAUAGAACAGAACAGAUCUGAGUUAACUGAUGAGUUUUAGGAAGUGUUUAGGCUAGGAGUUAGGAGCUUGAUUUGGGGAUUUUGUUUUUGUUUUAGGAACUUGUGUACUGGUAAUCCAAAUAAACAUGUCAGGAUGCCAAGGAAUUUGACUUUUCUAUACAAGCAUCAUCACAGAUGUGAAGCUGUCAGGUGUAAAUUAGCUGCCGUAUCUUGUCUUUCACUGUGUAGUCACUUGUUUUCAUUAUGGAGUGAAACUCAUGCUGUUUGUAAAGACAGUAUCAGCUCUGUCAAAACUGAAUAAAACUGAUAAAUCUAAA
RNAcentral lists this long non-coding RNA (3894 nucleotides) under Haliotis rufescens (red abalone). RNAcentral's name for it is "uncharacterized LOC124140647". The record is from RNAcentral. Lineage: Eukaryota; Metazoa; Mollusca; Gastropoda; Lepetellida; Haliotidae.